RNAcentral lists this unclassified non-coding RNA (251 nucleotides) under Hevea brasiliensis (rubber tree). The record is from RNAcentral. Lineage: Eukaryota; Viridiplantae; Streptophyta; Magnoliopsida; Malpighiales; Euphorbiaceae.
AUUCACGAAGGUAGCGAUCCGUACGGCGAUCGGGUUCGUCGUGAUGGGGUUCGUCGGGUUCUUCGUCAAGCUCGUCUUUAUCCCGAUCAACAACAUCAUCGUCGGUUCCGGUUAGGGAACUGAUCCUAGAGGCCUCAAGGGAUGAAGGAUUUGGCUUUAUUUAAGUUGCUUAUCGAAUAGAUACUUUAUGUAGAACAAAGUUUUUGUGAGCUUUGCGAAUCUGUUAGCGGAACUUGGAAUGACUAAUUAUG